RNAcentral lists this small nuclear RNA (100 nucleotides) under Erinaceus europaeus (western European hedgehog). RNAcentral describes it as "U2 spliceosomal RNA". It matches the Rfam family "U2 spliceosomal RNA". Rfam says of the family: U2 is a small nuclear RNA (snRNA) component of the spliceosome (involved in pre-mRNA splicing). Complementary binding between U2 snRNA (in an area lying towards the 5' end but 3' to hairpin I) and the branchpoint sequence (BPS) of the intron results the bulging out of an unpaired adenosine, on the BPS, which initiates a nucleophilic attack at the intronic 5' splice site, thus starting the first of two transesterification reactions that mediate splicing. The record is from Rfam by way of RNAcentral. Lineage: Eukaryota; Metazoa; Chordata; Mammalia; Eulipotyphla; Erinaceidae.
AUCGCUUCUCGGCCUUUUGGCUAAGAUCAAGUGUAGUAAAUCUUGCCCCAUUAAUAAUUUUUUAAACUUUCAGAAAAUUAAAACUGAAAGAGCACCUUCU